Molecule: ribosomal RNA, 280 nt
Filed under: Staphylococcus saprophyticus
Lineage: Bacteria; Bacillati; Bacillota; Bacilli; Caryophanales; Staphylococcaceae
Description: partial 16S rRNA
Rfam family: Bacterial small subunit ribosomal RNA
Source: RNAcentral
UGAACGCUGGCGGCGUGCCUAAUACAUGCAAGUCGAGCGAACAGAUAAGGAGCUUGCUCCUUUGACGUUAGCGGCGGACGGGUGAGUAACACGUGGGUAACCUACCUAUAAGACUGGGAUAACUUCGGGAAACCGGAGCUAAUACCGGAUAACAUUUGGAACCGCAUGGUUCUAAAGUGAAAGAUGGUUUUGCUAUCACUUAUAGAUGGACCCGCGCCGUAUUAGCUAGUUGGUAAGGUAACGGCUUACCAAGGCGACGAUACGUAGCCGACCUGAGAGG